AGCGAACGCUGGCGGCAGGCUUAACACAUGCAAGUCGAGCGGGCCUUUCGGGGUCAGCGGCGGACGGGUGAGUAACGCGUGGGAACGUGCCCUCUGGUUCGGAAUAACUCAGGGAAACUUGAGCUAAUACCGGAUACGCCCUUUUGGGGUAAGGCUUGCUGCCGGAGGAUCGGCCCGCGUCUGAUUAGCUAGUUGGUGAGGUAACGGCUCACCAAGGCGACGAUCAGUAGCUGGUCUGAGAGGAUGAUCAGCCACACUGGGACUGAGACACGGCCCAGACUCCUACGGGAGGCAGCAGUGGGGAAUAUUGGACAAUGGGCGCAAGCCUGAUGCAGCCAUGCCGCGUGAGUGAUGAAGGCCUUAGGGUUGUAAAGCUCUUUUAUCCGGGACGAUAAUGACGGUACCGGAGGAAUAAGCCCCGGCUAACUUCGUG
RNAcentral lists this ribosomal RNA (433 nucleotides) under uncultured bacterium. Its description in RNAcentral is "partial 16S ribosomal RNA". It matches the Rfam family "Bacterial small subunit ribosomal RNA", at positions 29 to 507 of the family's 1533-position model. The record is from RNAcentral.